Molecule: ribosomal RNA, 465 nt
Filed under: uncultured Klebsiella sp.
Lineage: Bacteria; Pseudomonadati; Pseudomonadota; Gammaproteobacteria; Enterobacterales; Enterobacteriaceae
Description: bacterial SSU rRNA
Rfam family: Bacterial small subunit ribosomal RNA
Source: RNAcentral
CCUACGGGCGGCUGCAGUGGGGAAUAUUGCACAAUGGGCGCAAGCCUGAUGCAGCCAUGCCGCGUGUGUGAAGAAGGCCUUCGGGUUGUAAAGCACUUUCAGCGGGGAGGAAGGCGUUAAGGUUAAUAACCUUGGCGAUUGACGUUACCCGCAGAAGAAGCACCGGCUAACUCCGUGCCAGCAGCCGCGGUAAUACGGAGGGUGCAAGCGUUAAUCGGAAUUACUGGGCGUAAAGCGCACGCAGGCGGUCUGUCAAGUCGGAUGUGAAAUCCCCGGGCUCAACCUGGGAACUGCAUUCGAAACGGGCAGGCUAGAGUCUUGUAGAGGAGGGUAGAAUUCCAGGUGUAGCGGUGAAAUGCGUAGAGAUCUGGAGGAAUACCGGUGGCGAAGGCGGCCCCCUGGACAAAGACUGACGCUCAGGUGCGAAAGCGUGGGGAGCAAACAGGAUUAGAUACCCCUGUAGUC